UACGUAGGGGGCAAGCGUUGUCCGGAAUCAUUGGGCGUAAAGAGCGUGUAGGCGGCUCGAUAAGUCUGCUGUGAAAGUCCAGGGCUCAACCCUGGAAGGCCGGUGGAAACUGUCGGGCUAGAGUCCGGAAGAGGCGAGUGGAAUUCCUGGUGUAGCGGUGGAGUGCGCAGAUAUCAGGAGGAACACCCAUAGCGAAGGCAGCUCGCUGGGACGGUACUGACGCUAAGGCGCGAAAGCGUGGGGAGCGAACAGG
This 253-nucleotide ribosomal RNA is filed under the name uncultured bacterium. RNAcentral's name for it is "partial 16S ribosomal RNA". It matches the Rfam family "Bacterial small subunit ribosomal RNA", at positions 524 to 776 of the family's 1533-position model. The record is from RNAcentral.